Molecule: long non-coding RNA, 786 nt
Organism: Gossypium raimondii (Peruvian cotton)
Lineage: Eukaryota; Viridiplantae; Streptophyta; Magnoliopsida; Malvales; Malvaceae
Exons: 5
Source: RefSeq, a predicted model, not a curated record
AUAUUAUUUUUACUCCCAUUUGUCAGAAUUUUCUCACUUUCUGCUUCCCCUUGUCGUCCCCUCUAUUUUCCCUCACUGUUUCUUUGAAUUUUUUCUUCUUUUUCUUCCUUUUUGUGCCGCCCAAUUAAUCAUCAACUUCCCUUGCCUCAUAUUUUAUUUUGCUGCUAUUUUUUACUACCAUUAUCUCACCCUUGUAGCCCCUUUUCUCCUCCAUUUUUGCCGUUCCAGUAAGCCACCAUCUUUGUCGUUGCCACCCUUUUGAUUCUCUUCCUCUAUUCUUCAUUAUUUUUUUUUCGUCACGAUUUUGAGCAAGUAAAUUACUUUUUCUUUGGUGUUUGAAUGUUCAAGAUCUAGAUCCAAACCAUAUGGAUCAGCCAUAGCGUUGGGAAGACUGUUUGCAAAGUCAUCAUAAGUCAGUUAAGAUCUGAGUGAGAGCUAUCUAGAUCUCAAGCCUAAGAGUUGCGAGAAAGCGACAGAUUUCAGAUUAGUGCUAAAACAUCUAUAUCCAAACCAUACAGAUCACCUGUAGCGUUGGGAAGACUAUUUGCAAAGUCAUCAUAAGUCAAUUAAGAUAACCCUCAGGACUAGGGCCAGAUUCGACGUAUGGAGGUCUCAUCUCGUAUUUUUACCUAAUAAAAUAUUUUGAAUUUUACUUUAUUUAUUUUGGUAUUAUUAUUUUGGGAUUGUAAUUUUUAUUUAAGUAUGGACUGUGGUAUGAUACACUUUUAACUUGGAUUUUGUUUGCAUGAGUUUUUUUUAUGAAAACUGAACAAAUUUUAAAACUGA